Molecule: long non-coding RNA, 496 nt
Organism: Puntigrus tetrazona (Sumatra barb)
Lineage: Eukaryota; Metazoa; Chordata; Actinopteri; Cypriniformes; Cyprinidae
Exons: 3
Source: RefSeq, a predicted model, not a curated record
GCUGGUAGUAAAGUGAACUGCGUUUUUCAUCCGCUCCACAAGGCGGCAGAAGCGCCUUUCAGAGACUUCGAACCCCCGACUGAUCAGAAGAAGUAGAAACCUGGGAAGAAAACACGACAGUUCGCGUCAAUAGUAAGAGAGGUGUUGAACGGAAGCAGAGCUCUGGAGCGUGAGGACAGACAGUGGCUGUAAUGAUGGACGUGUGCUGAAGGACGGGACUCAUUUUCAAUGAUGCCACCCUUCCUUUUUCGUGUUCAGACUGAAGUACGUUAAGGUGGAUCUGUUUUGUCUUUUGCGAAAGGAAGAAGACGAGCAUCAAGUGAUUUCCAGUGGAUGCCAUGACCUCCUCCGGGACAGCUGAAAGCAGCACAUCAUGCGCAAGCUGUGGAAUCGUUUGAAUCCUCUCUGUCGCGUCUUAAGCAUCCAAGUGCAAUGUUUCAAAUAACUGCCCUGCUCAAAGCACAAAUUAAAUGGAAAAAGACAUACAAACGCUGAA